GCCUGGGUGGCUCAGCCGGUUGAGCGUCUGACUUCAGCUCAGGUCAUGAUCUCACAGUUUGUGAGUUCGAGCCCCACAUCGGGCU
Molecule: transfer RNA, 85 nt
Filed under: Felis catus (domestic cat)
Lineage: Eukaryota; Metazoa; Chordata; Mammalia; Carnivora; Felidae
Also listed under: 2 other names
Rfam family: tRNA
About the family: Transfer RNA (tRNA) molecules are approximately 80 nucleotides in length. Their secondary structure includes four short double-helical elements and three loops (D, anti-codon, and T loops).
Source: Rfam by way of RNAcentral